AUUGAACGCUGGCGGCAGGCCUAACACAUGCAAGUCGAACGGUAACAGGAAACAGCUUGCUGUUUCGCUGACGAGUGGCGGACGGGUGAGUAAUGUCUGGGAAACUGCCUGAUGGAGGGGGAUAACUACUGGAAACGGUAGCUAAUACCGCAUAACGUCGCAAGACCAAAGAGGGGGACCUUCGGGCCUCUUGCCAUCGGAUGUGCCCAGAUGGGAUUAGCUUGUUGGUGGGGUAACGGCUCACCAAGGAGACGAUCCCUAGCUGGUCUGAGGGGAUGACCAGCCAAACUGGAACUGAGACACGGUCCAGACUCCUACGGGAGGCAGCAGGGGGGAAUAUUGCACAAUGGGCGCAAGCCUGAUGCAGCCAUGCCGCGUGUAUGAAGAAGGCCUUCGGGUUGUAAAGUACUUUCAGCGGGGAGGAAGGGAGUAAAGUUAAUACCUUUGCUCAUUGACGUUACCCGCAGAAGAAGCACCGGCUAACUCCGUGCCAGCCGCCGCGGUAA
Molecule: ribosomal RNA, 506 nt
Filed under: uncultured bacterium
Lineage: Bacteria
Description: partial 16S ribosomal RNA
Rfam family: Bacterial small subunit ribosomal RNA
Source: RNAcentral